UAUAUAAACAAAGGGUUUUUCAGAUUUAAGGCUUUAGCCAUCCAUCCCCAAGUGCAUGAACAUUGAACAGGAGCCCUCCCAUUAAAAGUGUUGACAAAAGAUGAGGCAAAAGUGAGACGAAAAGUUGGAGGACUACUGGAGGAAUGAAUGAAGUUUUGGGUCACCUGCGAAAUAGUCCCUUAUGAUUAUCGUCAGACUGCUUGAUGGAACCAGCAUCUGUUUUUGGUAUUGGGGAUUGGGUCUAAAAGUUGAUCUAGAGAGCUGGAAUUCAUUUGAUUAUAAUAUCCUUGUGGAGCCAGAAAGCUCUUCUGUAUGACAUGAGAGAGAGAGAGAGAGAGAGAGAGAGAGAGAGGGAUUGAAGAAGAUCUCAAUCCCCAAAACACAUGACCUUUUUCUGUCAAAUGUGAGAUGUGUCAAAAGGGAUUGCAGAAAACUAAAAUCCCUUUCAUUGAGAUGGAGAGUCAACAGAAGAAAACCCUAGCUGCAGGCUCCGGCAGAAUACCCAAGAUUGAACUCUAAUAACUCAAUAAGGGAGAGUGGCACCUCUCAAGGUUGAAGUUGGAAUUCUGUUUUUGGGAUAGUAAGUAAUGGGUUGCUGUUGGUCCCAACCUCUUUACCAACCCAUAUCACUGAUCAGGUAUAAUUGGGUCAUUUACAUUUCAUAUGCUUCUCAUUUCUCUCCUAUCUUCUACCUUUUGUUUUUUGAAUUUCUUUUUUUAGGGUGGGGCGUCUGCAAUUUGGUCCCAGUGGUUCCAGCAUGUUUAUGCUUUUGUCAUGGGUACUGAAUUAGUCAGCGGGGGUGAUGAUGAGCAGAUGAUGUUAUAAUAUACCAAAUAGAGAUAAAAAUAACAAGUUACAGAAUUUGAGUCUAAAAGAGAAAGGGUGUGUGGGGGACACAAGAGUCCAAUCACUGUUCUCAUUAUCAAUUUUCUGUUUAUUUAUUUAUUUAUUUAUUUAAAUAGGUCUUUCCCUCCUCAUAUGACCUCAGGUAAGAUUCAUUAGAAAGGAAGAAAAAAUCAGGUAGUAUAGGCUUGUAUGUUUUGACAGGUAGUCAAUGGAUCAUAAAGGAACCAAAUGCCCCACCAUUUGCUCUUAUGCACAGAUUGCACAGCUCCAAUAGUCACACCCCCCUUCAAGGCUCUGGCAUUUUCUCCUCUCAUUCAAGGCAACCCAGUCUUGCUUCUAUCUAGACUAAUAAGUUAUGGAAGAAACAGAGGAGUCCAAUGCUAGCAGGAAAUGCAACACCAAAGGCAGGAGUUUCAGGGGGAGGAGCAACUCUCAAGCCUAUCAGCAUCAGCUGUUGCGGCACUCAAAUUGGAUUGGGUACUCCAACCAGAACCAAUACCAGAGUUACCCAGCUCUUCUCCCUCUGCCUCCGCCAAUACCUCUGCACCUGACGUCAACUCUAUCUCUUCCCCAAAACCAGAGCGUUAGAGCGAAACCCCAUUUGCAGAAACAGCCAUGGAAGCAGAACAACCCACCUCGUGUCACCUCCUCCGAUACCCACUUCCCAGCUCCCACAGUUUCCCCAGUGGCAGAGAGUCUCCAAAGGCGAACCAAUUUGGCUCCUAAAGGUGAAGAUAGAAGGAGAGUCAUGGGUGCCAAACCACAAACACUAAUGCCAGCAAGAAGGCCGGAUGCUGGUGGCAUAGAAGGGCCAGUGAUCCCUCUCCUUGCCAACCAUUUUCUAGUACGAUUCGACUCUUCUCAACGAAUUUUUCAUUACGAUGUUGACAUAUCCCCAAAUCCUUCCAAGGAAGUUGCUCGAAUGAUCAAGAAAAAACUAGUAGAGGACAACUCGUCUGUGCUAUCUGGUGCUUUUCCAGCCUUCGAUGGCCGCAAGAAUCUGUAUAGCCCUAUUGAAUUCAAGAAUGACAGACUUGAAAUCUUCAUUAGCCUCCCAAUUCCCACCGGCAAGUCAUUUUUGCCAUCCAGAGAGACUAAUGACUGGCAAGAGAAGCAUCAACAGCUUAAGCUCUUUAAGAUAAACAUAAAACUUGUGUCGAAGUUCGAUGGAAAAGAAUUGAAUAGCUACUUGAGCAAGGAGGGAGAAGAUUGGAUCCCUCUUCCUCAAGAUUAUCUCCAUGCUUUGGAUGUUGUUUUGCGGGAGAGCCCAAUGGAGAAGUGUGUAGCCUCAGGAAGAUCAUUCUACUCAAGUUCAAUGGGAGGGACAAAAGAAAUUGGAGGAGGUGCUGUUGGAUUGAGAGGUUUCUUUCAGAGUCUUAGACCGACCCAACAAGGCCUUGCUCUUAAUGUGGAUUUCUCUGUAACAGCUUUCCAUGAGAGUAUUGGUGUAAUUCCCUACUUGCAGAAGCGUCUUGAGUUUCUGCGAGACCUUUCACAGAGGAAGACAAGGGGCUUGACUAGGGAAGAGAGAAAGGAAGUGGAGAAGGCAUUAAAAAACAUCAGGAUUUUUGUUUGCCAUAGAGAAACUGUUCAAAGAUACCGAGUUUAUGGCCUAACUGAAGAAGCUACAGAAAAUCUCUGUUUCGAAGACAGAGAUGGAAAGAAGCUAAGGCUGGUGAAUUAUUUCAUGGAUCAUUAUGAUUAUGAUAUACAAUUCAGGAACUUGCCAUGCUUGCAGAUAAGUAGGAGUAAACCUUGUUAUCUACCUAUGGAGCUUUGUAUGAUUUGUGAAGGCCAGAAGUUUCUUGGGAAAUUGUCUGAUGACCAGACUGCUAGGAUACUCAAGAUGGGAUGUCAAAGACCAAGAGAAAGAAAAGUCAUUAUUGAUGGAGUCAUGAGAGGACCAGUUGGCCCAACAAGUGGCAACCGAGGCAGAGAAUUCAAGCUCCAUGUUUCUAGAGAAAUGACCAGACUAAAUGGGAGAGUUCUUCAACCUCCAAAGCUAAAGCUUGGUGAAGGUGGCCAUAUAAGAGACAUAAUUCCUUCUCGUCAUGAUCGCCAAUGGAAUCUCUUGGAGAGCCAAGUCAUUGAAGGAACUCGAAUUGAAAGGUGGGCACUAUUAAGUUUUGGUGGCACCUCAGAUCAAAAAUCAAACAUUCCGAAAUUCAUAAACCAGCUCUCUCAGAGGUGUGAGCAGUUGGGCAUAUUUCUGAACAAAAACACUGUUCUUAACCCUCAAUUUGAAUCAAUUCAGGUGCUUAACAAUGUCUCCCUCUUAGAAUCUAAACUUAAGAAAAUCCUCAAAGCUGCAUCCAACCAGCUCCAACUGCUUAUAUGUUUAAUGGAGAGAAAACACAAGGGAUAUGCAGAUUUGAAGCGCAUUGCUGAGACAAGCGUUGGUGUUGUAAGCCAGUGCUGCCUCUACCCAAAUUUAGACAAGUUGAGUUCACAGUUUCUGGCAAAUUUGGCUCUUAAGAUUAAUGCCAAAGUUGGUGGAUGCACAGUGGCAUUGUAUAAUUCCUUGCCCUCUCAAAUCCCUAGGCUCCUUCGGCCUGAUGAGCCAGUGAUCUUCAUGGGUGCUGAUGUGACCCAUCCUCACCCGCUUGAUGAUUUCAGCCCCUCUGUUGCUGCAGUGGUCGGUAGUAUGAAUUGGCCGGCAUCAAACAGAUAUAUAUCGAGAAUGCGAUCACAAACGCAUAGACAAGAAAUUAUCCAGGAUCUUGGCACUAUGGUGGGGGAAAUACUAGAUGAUUUCUAUCAGGAAGUAACUGAACUUCCCAAGAGGAUAAUUUUUUUCAGGGAUGGCGUAAGCGAAACUCAGUUCUAUAAGGUGCUUCAAGAGGAGUUGCAGGCUAUUAGGGAGGCUUGUUCUCGAUUUCCCAGCUAUAAACCUCCCAUUACUUUUGCAGUAGUCCAGAAGAGGCACCACACCAGAUUGUUCCCGGACGAAACUAGUCUAUCUUCGAUUCGGAACCAAUUUUUCAAUGAGAAUAUCCCCCCAGGAACUGUUGUGGACUCUGUGAUUACUCAUCCAAAGGAAUUCGAUUUCUAUCUUUGUAGCCAUUGGGGGGUGAAGGGAACAAGCAGACCUACUCAUUACCAUAUCUUGUGGGAUGAAAACCAAUUUACUUCUGAUGAACUGCAGAAGUUGGUUUACAACCUCUGCUACACAUUUGUACGGUGCACCAAGCCUGUUUCAUUGGUGCCUCCUGCCUAUUAUGCCCACCUUGCCGCAUAUAGAGGCAGACUUUACCUCGAGCGUUCGGAAUCCUUGGCUUUUACCAAAAAUGCUUCUACACUUUCCAGAGCUGCGCCACCAAAGGCAACCCCUUUGCCAAAACUUAGUGACAGUGUUAAGAAACUCAUGUUCUACUGCUGAUAUGUUGUUGCUAUCUCAUCUCAAUUCUAUGCCCUCAACUCCACACCGAUGCAGUGAACUUUUGAGGACAGCACGGCCACGAGAAGAGACAGAAAGACUGGGAAUUGCAAACGAGGGCUGGGACAAACGGUGGGGACCAGGACGAAGCAGGGCUAUUUGCAGGCACCUCUGCCCCUGCCACUCUGCCUGCGUGGGGAUGGGGAGCUUUCUGUUUUGUGGACUCAUGACUCAUCUCUUUGGAACCACAAUUCAAAACUGCUUCCUCUCUCACGCUCCCAAAUCCAAAUCCUUAGGGUUUGCCGGACAAGGCCUGUUUGGUAUCCUUUCUGCAUUUGAUUUUCGUUUUUCAUUUCUUUAUAAUGAACACCUUAUGAAAAAAUGUUUGUUUAUAUAAUGGAUUUUAUUUUU
Malania oleifera is the source of this 4633-nucleotide RNA transcript. It is a transcript of the gene named protein argonaute 7, with no coding region annotated. The transcript has 5 exons. NCBI's taxonomy places the organism in Eukaryota, Viridiplantae, Streptophyta, Magnoliopsida, Santalales, Ximeniaceae. The record is from RefSeq and is a predicted model, not a curated record.